CCACUAUGCUUAGCCAUAAACAUUGACAGUUUAUUACAUUUUCUGUCCGCCUGGGUACUACGAGCAUUAGCUUAAAACCCAAAGGACUUGGCGGUGCUUUAGACCCACCUAGAGGAGCCUGUUCUAGAACCGAUAAUCCCCGUUCAACCUCACCCUUCCUUGCCCAUCCCGCCUAUAUACCACCGUCGUCAGCUUACCCUGUGAAGGACAAAAAGUAAGCAAAACUGGCACUGCCCAGCACGUCAGGUCGAGGUGUAGCGAAUGGAGGGGGAAGAAAUGGGCUACAUUCCCUUACUUUAGGGAACUACGAAUGGCACACUGAAAACGUGGGCCUAAAGGAGGAUUUAGCAGUAAGAGGAAACUAGAGUGUUCCCCUGAAGUCGGCUCUUAAGCGCGCACACACCGCCCGUCACUCUCCCCGAAACUUUAACUUUACAUUAACUAAAAUGCCAAAAUCACAGAGGGGAGGCAA
This 472-nucleotide ribosomal RNA is filed under the name Pagellus bogaraveo (blackspot seabream). RNAcentral's name for it is "partial 12S ribosomal RNA". It matches the Rfam family "Bacterial small subunit ribosomal RNA", at positions 787 to 1484 of the family's 1533-position model. Lineage: Eukaryota; Metazoa; Chordata; Actinopteri; Spariformes; Sparidae. The record is from RNAcentral.